CAGCAGCCGCGGGAAUACGUAGGGUGCAAGCGUUAAUCGGAAUUACUGGGCGUAAAGCGUGCGCAGGCGGUUAUAUAAGACAGAUGUGAAAUCCCCGGGCUCAACCUGGGAACUGCAUUUUUGACUGUAUAGCUAGAGUACGGCAGAGGGGGAUGGAAUUCCGCGUGUAGCAGUGAAAUGCGUAGAUAUGCGGAGGAACACCGAUGGCGAAGGCAAUCCCCUGGGCCUGUACUGACGCUCAUGCACGAAAGCGUGGGGAGCAAACAGGAUUAGAUACCCCAGUAGUCCCUGUCUCUUAUAC
RNAcentral lists this ribosomal RNA (301 nucleotides) under uncultured bacterium. RNAcentral's name for it is "partial 16S ribosomal RNA". It matches the Rfam family "Bacterial small subunit ribosomal RNA", at positions 509 to 807 of the family's 1533-position model. The record is from RNAcentral.